RNAcentral lists this long non-coding RNA (627 nucleotides) under Mytilus galloprovincialis (Mediterranean mussel). Lineage: Eukaryota; Metazoa; Mollusca; Bivalvia; Mytilida; Mytilidae. The record is from RNAcentral.
AUGGUUUUCACUUUUUGUUCCAUGCUGGAACUGGUGCUUAAUUUGUAAGGGGGAUUUAGUAGAAUAGCAGGUAGUUUAGAUUAAUUGGAAAUUCAAGGGGAGCUUAAUGAACUGACAGAAAUAGAGAUCUUUGUAAAUUUUUGAUUAUUUGUAGUAGAUUUAGUUUUUGUGUAUUUUAGAGAUAUGUGAUUCAGAAUUAGGACAAUUCUGAGUUGUGGCUCCGAGUAACGGAUGUGAAAAUAUUUUUUUUUCAUUGUCUUAGGCAAAUAGUUCAGUGAUUUAUUUUUUUUUAAAUGCCAUGUUUUUAGGGAAAAGAUAAAAUUUAGAUAGAGACCCAAUAGCCAGGGAACAGGGGGGUGGAUUUUAGAAAUAACCCAUUCGUUGGUUAGGUAAAUUAACUAGUAUUUUGAAUUUAAGGCAUAAGGGGCGUCUUCAGUUGUCAGGCCUUUGUCGGAACUUAUAGUUCCUCCUUUUUAGGAAGGAGGGGGGUGUUGUAUCUUUACCCUAAGCCCGGGUUCUCCCUAUUAGGAGUAGACAACUGAUACCAUUCUCCCUGCCAGGAGUAGACGAUGGACACCAAUGGGCCUCUGGUUGGAUACAGCGGAUGUCAGAGCCUGCGCACGCCUG